GUGGGUGUAGCUCAGUUGGUUAGAGCGUCGGAUUGUGGUCCCGAAGGUCGUGGGUUCGACUCCCAUCUCCCACCCCA
This 77-nucleotide transfer RNA is filed under the name Porcipelethomonas ammoniilytica. Its description in RNAcentral is "tRNA-His". It matches the Rfam family "tRNA". Rfam says of the family: Transfer RNA (tRNA) molecules are approximately 80 nucleotides in length. Their secondary structure includes four short double-helical elements and three loops (D, anti-codon, and T loops). RNAcentral also lists the same sequence under 1 other name. The record is from RNAcentral. Lineage: Bacteria; Bacillati; Bacillota; Clostridia; Eubacteriales; Oscillospiraceae.